GGCAGGGCUUAAAACUGGGUGAACUCUGAGGUCCUUUUCAACCCCAACCAUUCUGUGAUUCUAUGAAAUGAGUGGACUGGGGCAUGGAGGCAGAGAGGAAGAAAGUAGAGUCAGACCAGUCAGAAAUAGUAGCCACCUAAAGGUCUAACUUGUGAAGUAACCAUUAAAAAAAAAACACAAUGCCACUAAUUAAAGAGCAGGGAGAAAUUAAAUUCUUGCUCCUUCUAUGCAGGCUUGUUAGAAGGGAUUCUUCUACAGAGACAAAACGAAGACCUGACCUUAGAGCUAGUCAUUCCUAUGAAGAGGCUACACAUAAAUAUACUGCCCAUAAGGCCACACAGGAAUCUCAGCACUGAGACCCUCAAACUGCAAUGGAGGGAACACAGCUGCCACAAAUGCGACCUUCUCUUCCCAAAGAACUGUUGCCAGGACAGAGGAAGAAUGAGCACGCCCUAUGGAGAAAUGUUGAACCUCUGUUGUCAACGCAAACCAAAAGACAAUGAAAAAGCUGAAAUGAGCACCAUGAAGCAGAGACACACCUCGAAUGCUGCCCCAUGACAGAAGUGAACUCUGAGCUCAGCUACUCGUGACAGAUGACAGAUACCCAACUCCAGCAAAGUGAAGGGGAAGACCUAAGACAGGAGUAGAAAAGCAGUGCUUGGGGUUUUCCAACACACCUUGCAAGAAAAAAAGGUUCCAAAAGACUUAGAAGAAAGCCUCCAUUUCCAGACAAGCUUCAUGGAUUCCACAGGUUUACACAUUCAUGAAAAUUUUGGCUGUAGACACAUGUGCUUGGGGAUUUUCAAGUUAAUCUUCAUAAAUUCAGAGGUUCUUGAUUAUUUCAAUUCCUUGGGUAGAACAGAGCUACUUAUGUUCCAAACAUGAAAUACUUCAAAGCGAAUCCUUCUUCUGGCUUUUAAGAUGUACACAGUGAUCCGUGCACUUACGAGUAAACAGUGCGUUUAACGGUAUGUCAAAAUGUAUGCAGAGGACAUUGACUGUCAUGCAUUUAAAGAUAUCUCAAAGCAUGGAAACAGUGACGAGGGCCUUGCUUUUGCACAGGGCUGUUUCACGGACAUGUGAAGGAGGAGGAAGAAGCCCGCAGCCUUCCAAACCGCAGCGGGGUGCUCAGGCUUUGUUUCCCACAACUCUAGGACUGCAUGUCUCCUAUGGGAAACUGCAACUUCUCAGGUCGAAUUACUGACUGAGGACACCUAGUGGGAUUUUGGUAGACAUCAACGCCACAAAAACUCAUUUCUCUAAGGGACUGAUUUAUUAAUAACCAUUACUAGCAUUAAGCCUUUUUAAAACAGUCAACAAUAACAAAAAACCCUAUAUACAUUAAAAAAAAAAUCAGCUAUUGAUGCCAUAGAAAUAUCCCAGAGUAUCUUCCCAAAUGUUUGCUAAUCUUGGUCACUCCAUCACAAGCUCUUUUUUUCCUUUCCACAUUCUUUGCUCAAACUGCUAUUUCUCAAAGUUUUAGGCCAAUGGGCCACUGUUACAUUUUGAUAGUGUUUCAUGGACCUAAGUCCAUCAGUAGAGUCAAUCAGGACUAGCA
Molecule: long non-coding RNA, 1558 nt
Organism: Chrysolophus pictus (golden pheasant)
Lineage: Eukaryota; Metazoa; Chordata; Aves; Galliformes; Phasianidae
Source: Ensembl